This 397-nucleotide ribosomal RNA is filed under the name uncultured bacterium. RNAcentral describes it as "partial 16S ribosomal RNA". It matches the Rfam family "Bacterial small subunit ribosomal RNA", at positions 523 to 918 of the family's 1533-position model. The record is from RNAcentral.
AUACGUAGGGGGCGAGCGUUGUCCGGAAUGAUUGGGCGUAAAGGGCGCGUAGGCGGCCUGUUAAGUCUGGAGUGAAAGUCCUGUUUUCAAGAUGGGAAUUGCUUUGGAUACUGAUGGGCUUGAGUGCAGGAGAGGUUAUCGGAAUUCCCGGUGUAGCGGUGAAAUGCGUAGAGAUCGGGAGGAACACCAGUGGCGAAGGCGGCUUACUGGGCCGUAACUGACGCUGAGGCGCGAAAGCGUGGGGAGCGAACAGGAUUAGAUACCCUGGUAGUCCACGCGGUAAACGAUGAAUGCUAGGUGUUGCGGGUAUCGACCCCUGCAGUGCCGGAGUCAACACAAUAAGCAUUCCGCCUGGGGAGUACGGCCGCAAGGUUGAAACUCAAAGGAAUUGGCGGGG